GGCGGGGCGGGAGCCGUUGGGUCGAGGGCGUGGCUCUCGCGGUUGGUGGUGACCAGUCCUGGCCUAGUGGAGGCUCCGAGCCUGGGGAUCGCUGACCUUGGACGGGAGUCUGGGAGGGGUUAACUGCAGGAAGCCUCCGCCGGGUGGCUGGUGCCCCGGAGCUAGGAGACGUGGCGCUUUGAAUGGGUCCGGGGGAGGGGCUCUCGAGGAAGUCGGGGAUGGGGUGGGGGUAGGGAGGAGUGGGUGAAGAGUGUGGAAGCGGGUAAGGGGGUCUAGGUCAAAGUCGCUCAAGUAGGGUGUAGGUUUUCUACAUUCUUUUCCUGGGAGUGGUGUUGGGGUGGAACAAACAUUUUCUCCCUGGGUCACACGGCUAGAUGCUUCCAGAGUAGGCUUAACUGAGUAUGAAGCCGGCACUCCUCUUGCAAGGCCUAGGUUUCAUUCACAAACUGACUAUUUCUCUUCAGGGCCAACUAACAUACUGCGUGCCUAUCAUUCGCUAGCCUGGCUCAUUCACUGUUGAUCUGGGUGUUCCCCAGAAAUCAAAACUUGGAAAGCCCGUGGGCGGCACUAUUUUCCUAGUAAUUUGUAGCUUUAAUAAGAAAUAACAAGAGAAGCACAUUGAACUGUGUUUACGCGUAGAGGUAGCUCCCCCCUUGUGUUUUAUUUUAAGCUUUUAUACAAGACCACAAAAGGAGUUUGAAAAAAUUCUGUGUUUAUAAUCUGUGUUGACCAUCUCUGGGUAGAGUUAGGAAGAAAUGAAUUGCCUUUUCAGAUUUUAAUUACAAAGAUAAUGUUUGCUGGAUGCCUUCAGUUUUUUCCUUUUUGCUAUAUGGAAACUUUAAUCAUUAAAUGAUAGCAAACAUUUAAGCAGGUGUCUUGACUGGACUAAUUACAGUUGACCCUUGAACAACUCGGGGGUUAAGGGCACUGACUCCUGGGCAGUGGAGUAUAACUUUUGCCUCCCCCAAAACUUGUAAUAGCCUCCUGUUGACUGGAAGCCUUACCAGGAACAGGAACAGUCACCUAACGCAUAUUUUGUAUGUUAUAUGUAUUACAUACUAUCGUCUUAAAUAAGUCUUAAAGUAAGCUAGAGAAAAAAAAUGUUAAGAAAAUCUUAAGGAAAAUACAUUUACAGUACUGUGCUGUUUGUUGAAAGAAAUGCAUGUAUAAGUAGACCCAAGCAGUUCAACUUCGUGUUUUUCAAGGGUCAACUGUGCAGACUUUCUCAAAGAAUAUAAAUGGGAUAAGAUUAAUAAGCACCUAAUGCCAAAACUGUAUUAAGGAGUAUUUUGACCUACUUUGCAACAGUAUUGUAAAUGCAUGUUGUGAUUAAUGGGUGGAAGGGAGUUUUGUAAAUAAUAAUAAAAAUAAACCACUCUUGCUAAGCUUUUAUAGACUUAUAAUUAAAGACAGUGUAAAUUAUAAGGCCUAAAACUUUGAAGAUAUCAUUGGGAUCUGCUUUAACUCUACAAGGUUCCAAAUUCCAUUUAUGUUUAUGAAGUUAGAUUUAUAAUCCCAUUCUUAACAUUUUGUUUCCAGAGACGGGAAAUGUGAUGAAUUUCCUAAGAGGUUCCACUGCCCAUUCUAGGUUAACACCUGUGGAUUUAGGAAUUGGACAGAUUAUACAAUAAGAGUAGCAGGAUUUCCCUGUUCCUUGGGCAGCCUAGCAAGUAUUGAUUACGUAAAAUCAUUUCACCUUGCUUUUUUCUGUGACUGUCCCUAAAAAUACCUUUAAAAAAAAACUUUAAAAUAAAUUUAAAAUUUUACUUUGUUUAGUAAUACAGAUAACAUCAUUUUCAUAUAUAACUUUAUAGUCAUUUUUCCAGGUUUUGUAAUAUAUGUAUAUGUUACCUAUGUAUAUAUAUGUAUAUAUUAUAUAUAUAUGUUUUACACAUUUAUUUUAAAGUUUAUUUAUUUGUUUUUGAGAAAGAAAGACAACAUAAGUGGGGAAGGGGCAGAGAAAGAGAGGGGACAGAAUCUGAAGCAGGCUCCAGGCUCUCAGCUGUCAGCACAAGAUGUGGGGCUCGAACCCAAGAACAGUGAGAUCAGGACCUGAGCUGAAGUCGGACGCUUAACCACCUGAGCCGCCCAGGUUAAGUCUUGAAGGAUGAGUAGGAUGUUGCCAAGAAGAGAAGGAAGGGGGUGGAGAUUAAUUCUAAGCAUGGAGACCAGCAAAAGUAAAGGCUUGGGACAUGAGAAAAUUUGGUGUAUCUGGAUUGUGUGAGCUUCCCUGAGGAGAGGCACAUGGGGCAAGAAAUUUGAGGGUGGCCUCCUACCAGCAGCCAGCAAGAAAGCAAGAUGCUCAGUCGGAUGAUCCAGAAAGAACUAAAUCCUGCCAACAACCACAUGAAUUUGGAAACGGAAUCUUCCCUGAUAAGACUCCAGUGCUGGCUAACGUCCUUCUGAGGGGCACCAAAGCAGAGCAGCCAGUUAAGCUGUAUCCAUAUUCAUGAUUCACAGAAACUGUGAGAUAAUAAAUAGGUACUGUUUUUCAGUUGGUAAAUUUGUGGGAAUAUUGUUUUGUAGCAACAGAU
Molecule: long non-coding RNA, 2534 nt
Organism: Panthera uncia (snow leopard)
Lineage: Eukaryota; Metazoa; Chordata; Mammalia; Carnivora; Felidae
Exons: 3
Source: RefSeq, a predicted model, not a curated record